UGAUAUAGUCAAGUUGUUGGUGGCCUAGGCAUAGGCAUAAUCGGGAAAUUGGUGAAAAUCCAAUACUGCCCCCGCAACGGUCAAAGAGUGUGGAUAUAACAAUGAGUCACUGAGUUUUCUUGGGAAGACGUUAUAUUUUGUCUCUUGAGUCCGGAUACCGGCCAGCCUUUUUUUAUACGG
RNAcentral lists this non-coding RNA (180 nucleotides) under unidentified. The record is from RNAcentral.